RNAcentral lists this ribosomal RNA (499 nucleotides) under uncultured bacterium. Its description in RNAcentral is "partial 16S ribosomal RNA". It matches the Rfam family "Bacterial small subunit ribosomal RNA", at positions 899 to 1397 of the family's 1533-position model. The record is from RNAcentral.
ACUCAAAGGAAUAGACGGGGGCCCGCACAAGCGGCGGAGCAUGUGGAUUAAUUCGAUGCAACGCGAAGAACCUUACCUGGGUUUGACAUGCACAGGACGCGUCUAGAGAUGGGCGUUCCCUUGUGGCCUGUGUGCAGGUGGUGCAUGGCUGUCGUCAGCUCGUGUCGUGAGAUGUUGGGUUAAGUCCCGCAACGAGCGCAACCCUUGUUCCAUGUUGCCAGCGCGUGAUGGCGGGGACUCAUGGGAGACUGCCGGGGUCAACUCGGAGGAAGGUGGGGAUGACGUCAAGUCAUCAUGCCCCUUAUGUCCAGGGCUUCACACAUGCUACAAUGGCCGGUACAAAGGGCUGCGAUGCCGUGAGGUUAAGCGAAUCCUAGAAAAGCCGGUCUCAGUUCGGAUCGGGGUCUGCAACUCGACCCCGUGAAGUCGGAGUCGCUAGUAAUCGCAGAUCAGCAACGCUGCGGUGAAUACGUUCCCGGGCCUUGUACACACCGCCCGU